This 473-nucleotide long non-coding RNA is filed under the name Struthio camelus australis. RNAcentral's name for it is "lncRNA (ENSSCUG00000008235.1)". The record is from RNAcentral. Lineage: Eukaryota; Metazoa; Chordata; Aves; Struthioniformes; Struthionidae.
AAGAUCUUGAGCGAUACUGUGAUUAAAAACACUUUUGCUGUUCCUUAACUGAUAUUUACAAUAAUUUGGGAAUGUAAGUGUCUGAUUUAAAUUGCUAAUCAGCGUUUCUCUUAUGUUUUUUUUCCACUCUAGCCAUAACUCAGCAGUGUUAAUUUGCAUUGGUCUGACAUUUUGCAUAUAAGCUGCAUAAAAGCCAUUUAAAUAGGAAAUGGUCAGAUAUUUUGUAGCCCUUCUCUGACCUUCUCCUACAUUCCUGUACUACCACGAUUCUUUUCUGCACUUUUUUUUUGGUGGGAAAGGAGAAUCCUGGCUCAGGAUAUGCUGGGUUACCUACACAGAAGCUGGUGUUGAACUUCAGAGUACACAAGUUGGAGCAAAAACGUGCUAGUUCUGCUCUUCAUCCUCGCAGGACGAAGCCACUUUCUAGCCGUCAGUGUCACGGCUGCUGCAAAAAGAAUGGAAGUGUUACCGAG